GUUACUGUGAAGUCAUUAGAGUGUGCAAAGCAGGCAGAUCCGAUUUUGUGCCACCGGAUACAGAAGCAUGGGAUGAUGGCAUAGGAUGCUGUUGUCCUAUAUUCAGCGUCUUUUGGCAGCGCGUCGACUUCGGUAAUGAUUAAUACUGAUGGCGGUAUCCAAUCGUAUUCGAUUGUCAGACGUGCGAUUCUUGGAUUUAUGAAAGAUCAUCUUCUGCGGAUGCAUCUGCAGAGGAUGAUCUUUCAUUAAUCCAAGAACGUCACAUCUAACGGAUCGAAGACGAUCAGAUACCGUCGUAGCUCUUAAUCAUAAACGAUGUCGACGAGCGAUUAGGAGGACGCUGAAUACAAAACACCACAAUCGUUGCAGUCGUCCAUGGCGUCCU
Molecule: ribosomal RNA, 385 nt
Filed under: Acanthamoeba sp.
Lineage: Eukaryota; Discosea; Longamoebia; Acanthamoebidae
Description: SSU rRNA
Rfam family: Eukaryotic small subunit ribosomal RNA
Source: RNAcentral